GAUGAACGCUGGCGGCGUGCCUAAUACAUGCAAGUCGAGCGAACAGACGAGGAGCUUGCUCCUCUGACGUUAGCGGCGGACGGGUGAGUAACACGUGGAUAACCUACCAAUAAGACUGGGAUAACUUCGGGAAACCGGAGCUAAUACCGGAUAAUAUAUUGAACCGCAUGGUUCAAUAGUGAAAGACGGUUUUGCUGUCACUUAUAGAUGGAUCCGCGCCGCAUUAGCUAGUUGGUAAGGUAACGGCUUACCAAGGCAACGAUGCGUAGCCGACCUGAGAGGGUGGUCGACCACACUGGAACAGACCCCCGGUCCAGCCUCCUACGGGAGGCAGCAGUGGGGAUUCCUCCUCAAGGGGCGAAAGCCUGAGGGAGCAACCCCGCGGGAGGAAUAAAGUUUUUGGGAUCUUAAACCUCUUUUAUGGGGAAAAAACAAAUGUGUAAGUAACUAUGCACGUCUUGACGGUACCUAAUCAGAAAGCCCCGCCUAACUACGUC
RNAcentral lists this ribosomal RNA (497 nucleotides) under uncultured bacterium. RNAcentral describes it as "partial 16S ribosomal RNA". It matches the Rfam family "Bacterial small subunit ribosomal RNA", at positions 28 to 507 of the family's 1533-position model. The record is from RNAcentral.